GACGAAGGGGGCUAGCGUUGUUCGGAAUUACUGGGCGUAAAGCGCGUGUAGGCGGUUGCCAUAGUCAGGUGUGAAAGCCUUGAGCUUAACUCAAGAAAUGCACUUGAUACUGGGCGACUAGAGGACCGGAGAGGAUAGUGGAAUUCCCAGUGUAGUGGUGAAAUACGUAGAGAUUGGGAAGAACACCAGUGGCGAAGGCGGCUAUCUGGACGGUUACUGACGCUGAGACGCGAAAGCGUGGGGAGCGAACAGG
Molecule: ribosomal RNA, 253 nt
Filed under: uncultured bacterium
Lineage: Bacteria
Description: partial 16S ribosomal RNA
Rfam family: Bacterial small subunit ribosomal RNA
Source: RNAcentral